This 72-nucleotide transfer RNA is filed under the name bacterium. RNAcentral describes it as "tRNA-OTHER". The record is from RNAcentral.
GGGCCGGGAACGGGUGUUCAACAAGAUCUUGACAGUCUAUGUCUGGGGGUUCGAGUCCCCUCCGGUCCACCA